ACGGGGAGCUGCCUAGCGGCUGAGAGGGCUUCGUGCCGACCCGCUGAACCUGACGGAUAAUGCCGGCGUAGGGACUUAUACU
Molecule: non-coding RNA, 82 nt
Filed under: uncultured Saccharofermentans sp.
Lineage: Bacteria; Bacillati; Bacillota; Clostridia; Eubacteriales; Oscillospiraceae
Source: RNAcentral